This 84-nucleotide transfer RNA is filed under the name Spirochaetaceae bacterium. RNAcentral's name for it is "tRNA-Leu". It matches the Rfam family "tRNA". Rfam says of the family: Transfer RNA (tRNA) molecules are approximately 80 nucleotides in length. Their secondary structure includes four short double-helical elements and three loops (D, anti-codon, and T loops). Further hydrogen bonds mediate the characteristic L-shaped molecular structure. tRNAs have two regions of fundamental functional importance: the anti-codon, which is responsible for specific mRNA codon recognition, and the 3' end, to which the tRNAs corresponding amino acid is attached (by aminoacyl-tRNA synthetases). tRNAs cope with the degeneracy of the genetic code in two manners: having more than one tRNA (with a specific anti-codon) for a particular amino acid; and 'wobble' base-pairing, i.e. permitting non-standard base-pairing at the 3rd anti-codon position. Lineage: Bacteria; Pseudomonadati; Spirochaetota; Spirochaetia; Spirochaetales; Spirochaetaceae. The record is from RNAcentral. RNAcentral also lists the same sequence under 1 other name.
GCCGGGAUGGUGGAAUUGGCAGACACCAGGGACUUAAAAUCCCUUGUCCGAAAGGGCGUACGGGUUCGAGCCCCGUUCCCGGCA